Molecule: transfer RNA, 88 nt
Filed under: Beta vulgaris subsp. vulgaris (sugar beet)
Lineage: Eukaryota; Viridiplantae; Streptophyta; Magnoliopsida; Caryophyllales; Amaranthaceae
Rfam family: tRNA
About the family: Transfer RNA (tRNA) molecules are approximately 80 nucleotides in length. Their secondary structure includes four short double-helical elements and three loops (D, anti-codon, and T loops).
Source: Rfam by way of RNAcentral
GCCUCUUUAGCUCAGUCGGCAGAGCGUAGGUCUCAUAUCCAAACUCAGAGUAAUCCUGAGGUCGUGCGUUCGAUCCGCACAGGAGGCA